CCUACGGGGGGCAGCAGUGGGGAAUAUUGCGCAAUGGGCGAAAGCCUGACGCAGCGACGCCGCGUGAGGGAUGAAGGUCUUCGGAUUGUAAACCUCUGUCAGCAGGGAAGAACGGUCACUGUGCUAAUCAGUAGUGAAUUGACGGUACCUGCAAAGAAAGCACCGGCUAACUCCGUGCCAGCAGCCGCGGUAAUACGGAGGGUGCGAGCGUUAAUCGGAAUUACUGGGCGUAAAGCGGUCGUAGGCGGUAUGUCAAGUCAAGGGUGAAAUCCCCGCGCUCAACGUGGGAACUGCCUUUGAAACUGGCAGACUUGAGUGUGUGAGAGGUAAGUGGAAUUCCAGGUGUAGCGGUGAAAUCCGUAGAUAUCUGGAAGAACAUCAGUUGCGAAGGCAGCUUACUGGCACAUAACUGACGCUGAGGAGCGAAAGCGUGGGUAGCAAACAGGAUUAGAUACCCGAGUAGUC
RNAcentral lists this ribosomal RNA (465 nucleotides) under uncultured bacterium. RNAcentral's name for it is "partial 16S ribosomal RNA". It matches the Rfam family "Bacterial small subunit ribosomal RNA", at positions 338 to 795 of the family's 1533-position model. The record is from RNAcentral.